Molecule: long non-coding RNA, 1737 nt
Organism: Lepisosteus oculatus (spotted gar)
Lineage: Eukaryota; Metazoa; Chordata; Actinopteri; Semionotiformes; Lepisosteidae
Source: Ensembl
AAUUGGUCUCCUCUAGGAGGUUGCUCUGGUGCCUUGGUUGUAUCUGGUGCCUUGGUCGUAUCAGGUGCCUUGGUUGUAUCUGGUGCCUUGGUUGUGUCAGGUGCCUUGGUUGUAUCUGGUGCCUUUGUUGUAUCUGGUGCCUUGGUUGUGUCAGGUGCCUUGGUUGUACCAGGGGCUUUUGUUGUCUUUGGGGCUUGGGUUGUUUUGGGGGCAGAGGUGUCCUUAUCACUCCCACCUCCAUUUGGCAAAUCUCCCGGUAAGAAUGUAGGGACUACCAAAAUGGUGGGGAGGGCAGGUGACGGUGCUGGUGCAAUUGCACUAGUACCUGGGACUCGGGGAGGACUGGGCAAUACUUCAUCCUUUGGAACCAAACCCAUACCAGCACUAGGAGAAACUCCUUGGGCCACUCCGGUGCCAGUGGAGGGGGCUGAAAGGAUGACAAAUGGUAACAAAGAACGACCAUUUGGUGAAGGAGGAAAUAUGAAUAUGGGCUGACGAGAGGACGGAGGAGAAGGCCUGGGGGGUUGUGGUGGAGGAGGAGGGGGAGAAGCAAAAAUAUAUAUGGGAGGGGAAGGCUUGGCAGAAACACUUGGUGACUGAUUUGGAGGGGGAAAUAUAAAAACUGGUUGAGCUUUAGGCGCACCAGAAGCAGAACGUUGAGGCAGCUGUGGGAUAUAGAAAAUUGGUGGCGGACGAGGAGGGGGUGGGACAGGUGCACGGGGAGGGGGAGGGAAUACAAAGAUAGGGGGGAAUCUUCUGGAGCUUGUAGAAGAUGCUACCUGUACGGGGGGAGCUGGUUGCACUGGUUGACCUGCAGGAGAGAAGCAAGGAGCUGGAGGUCCAGCAAAGGUUGGAGGCGCUGGUGCCACCUGGUUGGAAACUGUAGGAUGAGAGAACCAGGAUGGUUGAUUCAUCCUCAGACGUUGAUUACCAGGCACUCUCUGAAAAUAAAACAUCCUUGCAGGUCUAAUUUUUCUCUGUGGGAAAAAUAAACAAGAACAAACAUCAUGGACAAAAUUCUAAAAUGAUUUUAAAGUCACCUGGCCUGUUUCAACGGAGUGUAUUAUGAAAACUGCAUGCCACUUUCCCACAGACAAAGCCCAUGGACACUAAGCAGUGUUAGGUUAGUCUGAAAGAAUGAAGAAAUUCAGAAAGAAUAGGAAGGUAAGGUAGGAUAGGUCAGAAAGAAUAGGAAAAAUUAGACAGCAAGAAUUAGAAUAUGAAUAUAAUAAUAAUUCUUCAUAAGAAUUAGGAAGAGUGUUAUUUAUUUGCAUGUGUACCAGUUUUCACUCGUGUUAUAGUUUGCACAAUGCAAUGCAAAGAAAUGUCAGUUACUUCCUCUGUGAUCCUUUUUCUGCAGCCCUCCAAUAUUCCCAUUUCACUUUGUUUCAUCCAAUGUGUGUGUAGGCCUGGCAUCAUACCUUCCAGACACCACACACCAAUAACAUUUACUGUAUUUGACACAGGGUUUGUCUGGACUCCUAGAAUAUAAUUUCAGUGGCAACUUCAAUCAUCUCUAUCAACUACAAGUGUAUCUCUUCCAAGAACUCAAAUAAAAUGCCAUAUAUUCCUUUUUGCUCAUGGUGUCAAAACCAUUUGUCAAAAAGCUUGAGUGAACCACAGCAAAUGAACAACAGCCCGAACUUAUAUCAUUCUUAAUAAAAGUUUUAAGUCGUAUCUUCAAUCAACAGCCAUAAAGACAAUUCUUUCAGUAUUUAUUUCGAGAAGCAAAACAGU